UACGGAGGGUGCGAGCGUUAAUCGGAAUUACUGGGCGUAAAGCGCGCGUAGGCGGUCUGAUCAGCCGGUUGUGAAAGCCCCGGGCUCAACCUGGGAACGGCAUCCGGAACUGUCAGGCUAGAGUGCAGGAGAGGAAGGUAGAAUUCCCGGUGUAGCGGUGAAAUGCGUAGAGAUCGGGAGGAAUACCAGUGGCGAAGGCGGCCUUCUGGACUGACACUGACGCUGAGGUGCGAAAGCGUGGGUAGCAAACAGGAUUAGAUACCCCCGUAGU
RNAcentral lists this ribosomal RNA (271 nucleotides) under uncultured prokaryote. RNAcentral's name for it is "partial 16S ribosomal RNA". It matches the Rfam family "Bacterial small subunit ribosomal RNA", at positions 524 to 794 of the family's 1533-position model. The record is from RNAcentral.